UCGUUGACACAGAGGGCAGCGGACAAAACGUGCUUGCUGCGCGUCGAUGGCACGCCAACGCGGGCGUGGGCGAGGCGGAAAACAUGGGUAUCACUGCGACGGCGUGUGCGUGUGUAUGUGUGGCUUCCUUUUACCUCACCACUCAAGAGGAGAGCGAGGUUCUUUGCACUGCACAUGACUGCUCACAUCUACCGCAUCGCCAUGAUCCUUGUCUCUGCCUGCCUUUGCAUACCACCAGUUUGCCCCUCCCUCCUUCCACACACACGCGCACACCCCCUCCCUACUCGCUUUCUUUUUAUCGUCGAAUGGGUACCACCUUUUGCUCCUUAUGUCUCGUCGCCCAGGCACCUUGCCCGUCACCACUUUCAUUGCCCCCAGCCUUUCCCCCCACCCCCGCAUGUAUUCAUCGUCUUUUCGCUGCACAGCUGUCGAUCGCUCCUUCUCCGUCCCAUCUCUUCGCUACCCCCGACUCCCCCAACGUCUCUCGGAGCAUCGUCACUUUCCACAGGACAUCCUGUCUUACACUCAUCCCAGACAAAACAAGCCCGCGCCCUCUCCCUUAUUCUCGUUGCACGUCGCACCGUUGCAACUCUGGGCUUCCACGUCUGCCGCUCUCGAUAUUCAGAAGCACGCAACGAAAGGAGGGCGUCGUCUGCUCAUCCAGCGCCGCGCCUCAGCAGAGGCACCGUGAAGCAGCGCAGGUCGGCGUCACGUGAUGCUGUUCUUGUCCAUGUGAUGAUCGUCCUCGGAAGCCUCUCCAAGCACAUACCUCCUCAUCGUAUGCGCACAGAACACAUCCAUCGGCCACCCACCCACCCACCUCCACCUCUGCGCCCGUGAGGCUCUGCUCUGCUGGCCCUUCCGUACCUCCGCUUCCUUUUCCGUGGUCCCCCCUCGCCUUCCCCCUCUUUUUUCUCUGGUGCAUCCAG
Molecule: unclassified non-coding RNA, 929 nt
Filed under: Leishmania donovani
Lineage: Eukaryota; Euglenozoa; Kinetoplastea; Trypanosomatida; Trypanosomatidae
Description: gene:unknown
Source: RNAcentral